AUUUAACUCCCAACCCCCUGUGACAUACCACUUGUUGCCUCGGCGGAUCAGCCCGCUCCCGGUAAAACGGGACGGCCCGCCAGAGGACCCCUAAACUCUGUUUCUAUAUGUAACUUCUGAGUAAAACCAUAAAUAAAUCAAAACUUUCAACAACGGAUCUCUUGGUUCUGGCAUCGAUGAAGAACGCAGCAAAAUGCGAUAAGUAAUGUGAAUUGCAGAAUUCAGUGAAUCAUCGAAUCUUUGAACGCACAUUGCGCCCGCCAGUAUUCUGGCGGGCAUGCCUGUUCGAGCGUCAUUUCAACCCUCAAGCACAGCUUGGUGUUGGGACUCGCGUUAAUUCGCGUUCCCCAAAUUGAUUGGCGGUCACGUCGAGCUUCCAUAGCGUAGUAGUAAAACCCUCGUUACUGGUAAUCGUCGCGGCCACGCCGUUAAACCCCAACUUCUGAAUGUUGACCUCGGAUCAGGUAGGAAUACCCGCUGAACUUAAGCAUAUCAAUAAGCGAGGGAAAAAGAAAACCCCC
This 521-nucleotide ribosomal RNA is filed under the name Fusarium oxysporum. Its description in RNAcentral is "eukaryotic LSU rRNA". The stretch from base 142 to 295 matches the Rfam family "5.8S ribosomal RNA". The record is from RNAcentral. Lineage: Eukaryota; Fungi; Ascomycota; Sordariomycetes; Hypocreales; Nectriaceae.